Molecule: long non-coding RNA, 1022 nt
Filed under: Bos grunniens (domestic yak)
Lineage: Eukaryota; Metazoa; Chordata; Mammalia; Artiodactyla; Bovidae
Description: lncRNA (ENSBGRG00000016924.1)
Source: RNAcentral
AGGCAGCACACUGCUCCUCUCAGGGCCCUCCAAUUCAUAUGCUCUGAUUCCCACACCAUCUCCUUGAGGUUGGCACUAUGGUGGUGGGCACGGCACAGGUGAGGAAACAGCCCGGGCAGGGGACAAAGCUUGCCCAGACCUGCAGAGCUGGGAUUCACCUUGAGAGUUCCUGACACUUGUUCUCCUGUCCUCUCUUCAUCUGAAUGGAAGAGUGAAGGCCGUAGCUAACAGAAUGUUUGGAUCCCCCAAAAUUGAUGUGCUGAAACCUAACCCCCCAGUGUGAGGGUAUUUAGAGGUGGGGCCUUUGGGAGGUGAUGAGGUCUUCCAGCGUGAAGCCCUCAAGAAUGGGAUACUGCCCUUUAAAAGAGGCCCCCGGGAGAUCUCUCCCUUGUCUCUUCUACCUUGUAUUGUGGUUCAGUGUCCGACUCUCUCUGACCCCAUGGACUGCAGCACACCAGGCUUCCCUGUCCUUCACCAUCUCCCGGAGGGUGCUCAAGCUCAUGUCCGUUGUGUUGAUGAUACCAUCCACCUUGUGAGGUUAUACCCAAAAGAUGGCCGAACCAGGAAGUGGGCUCUUACCAGACACUGAAUCUGGCAGCACCUUGAUCCUGGACUUUUCAACCUCCGGAACUGUGAGAAAAAGGUCUUUUGUUCAAAGCCACCCCACCCCCUCCACCAGCCUGCGAUAUUCUGUUAUAGCAGCAUGAAUUGGACUAAGUGGCUAAGGCAGCCACUUUCCCUAUCUGCGCACACUGUUGAUCCUUCCAUCUGUCUAUCCACUCAUCCAUCCACGCAUCCAUGUACCCACCUAACCAUCUAUGCAUCCAUCUAUCCAUCCACAGCUGUGCAAUUUGCUUUGCAAGCCAUGCUACAUGGGGCCGGAAGCCGCGAAGAACUGCAAUCAGAGCUCUAGGAGACAGGAGAGAGGAUAUUUCAGGAGGGAGGAACUGCAUGAACAUCCGAGUGGAGGUGAGAGACAGUAGGUGGACCCAGGGUGGGGGAGCAAGAGGAGGAAAGGGAAG